CCGUAGGUGAACCUGCGGAGGGAUCAUUACCGAGUUAUACAACUCCCAAACCCACUGUGAACCUUACCUCAGUUGCCUCGGCGGGAACGCCCCGGCCGCCUGCCCCCGCGCCGGCGCCGGACCCAGGCGCCCGCCGCAGGGACCCCAAACUCUCUUGCAUUACGCCCAGCGGGCGGAAUUUCUUCUCUGAGUUGCACAAGCAAAAACAAAUGAAUCAAAACUUUCAACAACGGAUCUCUUGGUUCUGGCAUCGAUGAAGAACGCAGCGAAAUGCGAUAAGUAAUGUGAAUUGCAGAAUUCAGUGAAUCAUCGAAUCUUUGAACGCACAUUGCGCCCGCCAGCAUUCUGGCGGGCAUGCCUGUUCGAGCGUCAUUUCAACCCUCGAGCCCCCCCCGGGGGCCUCGGUGUUGGGGGACGGCACACCAGCCGCCCCCGAAAUGCAGUGGCGACCCCGCCGCAGCCUCCCCUGCGUAGUAGCACACACCUCGCACCGGAGCGCGGAGGCGGUCACGCCGUAAAACGCCCAACUUUCUUAGAGUUGACCUCGGAUCAGGUAGGAAUACCCGCUGAACUUAAGCAUAUCAAUAAGCGGAGGA
This 596-nucleotide ribosomal RNA is filed under the name fungal sp. ARIZ L486cla. RNAcentral's name for it is "eukaryotic LSU rRNA". The stretch from base 219 to 372 matches the Rfam family "5.8S ribosomal RNA". The record is from RNAcentral. RNAcentral also lists the same sequence under 1 other name. Lineage: Eukaryota; Fungi.